UAAUUCCUGAUUUCUUAGAGUGCCUGGCGUUGCCAAAUUCAUCAUCCAAUACGUCCGGUAGCUUUAUGGGAUCAUUACUCAGCAACACAUCUACAGGACAAGUACUGAACCAAGACGAUGAGAUUUUCCAGACGGGGUCUAUUGCUCCUCUGUCACAACAGCUACAUCAAGAACGGCAGCAUGAGAAGCAACAAAAACAAAUACCAAC
This 208-nucleotide long non-coding RNA is filed under the name Solanum tuberosum (potato). RNAcentral's name for it is "long non-coding RNA (STUB_LNC003310)". Lineage: Eukaryota; Viridiplantae; Streptophyta; Magnoliopsida; Solanales; Solanaceae. The record is from RNAcentral.